Non-coding RNA from Triticum aestivum (bread wheat), 136 nucleotides. The record is from Rfam. Lineage: Eukaryota; Viridiplantae; Streptophyta; Magnoliopsida; Poales; Poaceae.
AGUCUACUCCCUCCGUUGCACAAUACAUGCCUUCUAUUUGUCAAAAUAUAUAUGUAUCUAGACAUGUUUUAGUAUAUAGGUACAUCCAUUUUUGGACAAAUGAAAGUCAAGUAUUUUGGAACGGAGGGAGUACACA